AAUUGAUUUAUUCUUGCAGUCAGACAGUGGGGGAUAAGCUUCAUUGUCACAAGGGGAAGAGCCCAGAUCAUUAAAUAAGGUCCCUAAAAUAUGCUAAGUGGAAAAGGUUGUUAAAAUACUUAAACAGCAAGGAUGUUGGCUUAGAAGCAGCCAUCGUUUAAAGAGUGCGUAACAGCUCACUUGUCGAGUGUUUUUGCGCCGAAGAUGUAACGGGGCUAAGCAUAUUACCGAAUUUAUGGAUUAUUAUUCGUAAGAAUGAUAGUGGUAGACGAGCGUUGUAUAUGGGAU
This 288-nucleotide ribosomal RNA is filed under the name Mycoplasmoides gallisepticum. RNAcentral's name for it is "Mycoplasma gallisepticum partial 23S ribosomal RNA". It matches the Rfam family "Bacterial large subunit ribosomal RNA", at positions 965 to 1251 of the family's 2925-position model. The record is from RNAcentral. Lineage: Bacteria; Bacillati; Mycoplasmatota; Mycoplasmoidales; Mycoplasmoidaceae.